CCCGAAGCCCGUGGCUCAACCCGCAAGGGGGAGAGCGGUCGAAGGUGGGACUGGCGAUUGGGACGAAGUCGUAACAAGGUAGCCGUACCGGAAGGUGCGGCUGGAUCACCUCCUUUCUAAGGAGCA
RNAcentral lists this ribosomal RNA (126 nucleotides) under Lentzea alba. RNAcentral's name for it is "Lentzea sp. NEAU-D13 partial 16S ribosomal RNA". It matches the Rfam family "Bacterial small subunit ribosomal RNA", at positions 1420 to 1533 of the family's 1533-position model. The record is from RNAcentral. Lineage: Bacteria; Bacillati; Actinomycetota; Actinomycetes; Pseudonocardiales; Pseudonocardiaceae.